Molecule: transfer RNA, 74 nt
Filed under: Phrynosoma platyrhinos (Desert horned lizard)
Lineage: Eukaryota; Metazoa; Chordata; Lepidosauria; Squamata; Phrynosomatidae
Description: tRNA-OTHER
Source: RNAcentral
GCCAUCAUGGUGUAGUGGUCUGAGCAUUAGAUUAUGAUUCUGGAGACCAGGGUUCAAAUCCCCACUUGAUCAUG